CUUUCUCAUUGCUGAAGCCUGUUGAGGAAGACCCUGUGGAAGUUCUCUCCUGGGUCUGAACACAAGCCAGUGUUGGUUGCAUCGGCCUUCCUGGUGCUUGGCUCCUUCUCAGCCUUGCUUCCAACUCUCGCUUUCUGAGUCCAACAACGUGCUGCGUUUUAUUGUUCCGAUUUUCUCUUAACCCAAACUGCAGUGGCAUAGACAGCAAAGGGGCUGGCUGAGAAGGCAGCAUUGGAGACGCAGUUAGAAAUAAAAACCGGAGAGCUCUGAGCCCGCUGCGGGUCUCCUGAGACAAACAUGUGAAGCCCCUCCUUGGCCUGCUCUGCCGCAAGUCAUUAAUCAACUUCUUACACCUCAUCUGAAGGAGGGACAGCUCCGUUUCCUCUCCCUGCCAGCCAGCUGGACGAGCACUAGGGAGGACCGGCUCAGAGCCCUGGGUGGCACAUCCUCAGCCGCGACGGAGCGCAGUGUGUUUGGGUGUCGCCCUUGGGGCUACUCGUGAGGUGACCACUUGUGUACGGUGCCUGAUGCUUCUGUUGCUGGAGCAAUGGAGAAAGAUACCACUUGGCCACAGGCCUUCAAGAUUUUAUCAGUUUUCUCCGAGGACUCACAUGUCAGAGGCACUGUGGGGACCACGGGACAUUCCCUGGUAGGUGGCUUUUAAGUAAAGAAAGAGACAAAAAAACCCCACAAAGAGCAGCUUGAGACAUUGUACACAGGCUCAGUUGGUCACACUGUGUUCGAGUCGUUACCCUUAUUUCUGCACAGUGACUUCUUUCAUCUCCAGACACCAGGAUCUCCAAGGUGCCUUGCAGCCUCCCGGCGACAGGCAGCAUCACACCCCACACUCUUUGUAUAAUGCUCCUACUUCCUAAGCGUCUCUGCAGGUUGCAUAACUCCACACCUGUUGCCUUGUUUAUAAAGAAUAAUAACAUGACGUCACAGGAGAAAGGACAGGGCUGUGAAGGGCCAGGAGCAAUGCCAUGCACAAACGGGCUCUCACUAGCUUCCCCUCUCCCAGGUCCCCUUCUUCCGGACUCAGCUGCAUAAACACAUGUCAGAGCUGUGGGUAGGCUUUCCCCGAACCCCACGACCACCACGACCACCGAGGCAGGGCCCUAGCCUGAACUUAGUGCUCCAGGACAAGAGACUGAGACUUGUCUUUUUAUUUUCAUUUUCCCUAUUUUUGGGGGGUCUGUGUGAUUUCUUGGCAACAGCCCCACUGGUGGUGGGAAAAUAUGUGCUUGCUAUUUGGGGAGCAGCAGCUUGCUCCUGGAGCCCCUCCCCUCUGAUACUCCUGCAACGCAGAGCUCCGUGCUGCACGCCCUCCCCUCAGAGUGGCGUCCAGAGUCUGUCUUGCUGUCAGUGAAACUGGCCUCAGAAGCAUCUUUCAGCUGCUUCAAAUUUGGCUUGGGAUUGACAGUCUCCCCUUCUCUUCUGGUUAGUCUCGUGGUGGCCUGCUUCCUCCUCCCCAGGAAAGCAGAAGAGCUUGGCCCACUCCUGCACUUCUGCUCCUCCGGGUGGUUCUGCCGUCUGCCCAGUGGCUCAGGUAUGAGCUCUCAUGCUAUCCUCCCUGCGGAAUCCUCCUCCUUGUCACAUUGUGUCACCCCUUGGCAUCUUUUGGCUUGAUUUCCUUCACGCUCUCCAUCCGGUGCUGUGCUGUGCUCCCUUCUAUGGCUCCUCAUGCGUUCUCCAUUCUAAGCAGCAAACAUACUGAAUUAUAUUCAUUUGUUCUCCUAUUUUUCCCACGGGUCUUUGAAAGUUCUGGAGGACAGGGCCUACGCAUUAUGUGUUUCUUUAUCCUCGGUGCCUAGUACACUGUUUCAAGUAAAUGUUUCCUACAGAAAUAAAAGAAUAAGUGCAAAAUAUUGCGCCUGAAAUUGGAAAGACUUCUGUGCCAGCGAGCAGAUCAGGGUUUGAGGAGGAGCUUUCUAAAGCUGCACAUUGCACUUGCAGUCCUAGCUCGUCCACCUCGGGCCCCAGUGAGAUGGUGCCCACUGAUUGUUAUCAACCCUCAGUGACUGGUUGGCCCACUCUGUGGCACAGCAGAGAGUGUUCCAAGGAAGCAGGCUGCCCUGGUGGCUGCUCCCUGGCAACUUGACACGUUCCAAGCUGGGCUUCUGUGUUUCCACACCCUCUGUUCCGCACUCCAGAGAGAUCUGUGAGCGUCACACAGCGCCUCUCCCGGCUCCUCUACGCUGCCAUCCAGUUGGUCACUAAGUUUGCCACCACAUUUUCACAACAUCUCGUGAGUUGGUCUGCUCCUCCACAGUGCUGCUCAGUUCCUGCCCUCAUCAGUACUGAGCCGAACUUCUGCACUAGGCGGACCAACUUCCCCAGCAGAGCCAAGCAGCACUGCAGAGAGCAGAGUUCUCUGCUGACACGUGCUUCACGGAGCUCUGUGGGUGUCCUUCUCUGCCUGCUAGACUGUGAGCCAGUGGGUGCAGGAAGUAUGUGCACUCCAUAAAUGUAUGAUUCAGUUUCCGUUAAUGCAAUUUGAAACUUAUGGACAGUGAGCUUAAAGAAAAAGAGACUUAACUUUCUUUACCCAUUAAUUGUUUAUAUUUUAUUCUAUUUAAUCUUGAUAUUUCCUGAUCGAGAAAUAGGUAGAUAGGUAGGUGGAUAGAUAGGUGUUAGGUAGAUUCUUUUUUCUGGUAAUUUGAUAAUGUUAGAGAUGCCAAACUUCUAUACUCCUAAAUAUUUCGUUGCGUAUUUAAUAAAGUAGGGUGCUCCCUUACAUAGUCAUAGUAUAAUUUUCACAAACAUCAAAUUGAAUAUUAUUAUAAUCUCAUUCAUAGUCUCUAUUAACAUUUUAACUGUCUCAAUAUAAUUUUCUUUAUAGUUAUUAUUUUUUGUUUUGUUUCAAAUACAAGAUCACAAGUUUUCAUGUCUCCUUGGUCUUACAUCUGUAGUGAAGUUCUUCAGCCUUUUUUAUGUUUUCCUGACUUUGACCUUUUGAAAAUUAUAAGUCAAGUAUUUUGUAGUCUUUCUUUAUUUUGAGUUUAUUUAACAGUUCCUUAAUAUUAGAUUCAGGUCAUGUGAUUCAGAUGCCCCCAAAUAACAUUGUGAUUUUUCAGUGCGUUUCACUAAGAGCAUCGUGAUGUCAGCUUAACUCAUAUUAGCAGUUUGAUGACUUGGUUAAAUUUGUGUUCUUCAUUAUAAAGUUUUGCUUGUCGCUUUGUAAAUAAUACAACAUCUACAAUCGACUGUGUAAAUAUUCAGUUCUUCUCAUCACACUUUCAUCAGCUCCCACUAAUGAUUUGUUAGCUUUCUUAUUCCAUCCAUGUAACUAGAUAUUAUUGUUCUUUAAUAAUGUAUUUUUUUCUCUACCCACACUUAUUUCUGUAUACUUAUUUUAUUUGAUGCAUAUAAUUUUUUAUUAUAAUUAUUAUUUUGUCAUUAUUUUUUGAAUGCCCAUACUAUUCCAGAUUUUACCAGUGGAUUUCUUUCAAGUGAGUUCCUGUGUGCUUUGGAAAUGUAUCUCAUGUUUCUUUCAGCACUUUGUUACUUUCUAGAAUAAUGAAAUUAUCUACCCUCAUGUUGCUUUCCUCCAUCCCCAGACUCAGCAGUUUCUCCAGAGAUCCAUUUCCUUUUAGCGGAUAAUAGAAUAGGAAACCAAUAUAUAAAUGGUAACUAUACUUGAUGCUUUGAGUACGUCAUUGCUUCAGUACCCUUCUGGUGGAUGGAGGAGUGCGGACAUCCACAUACGCACACGUACGCUCAUUUUCACAUCUUGGAAUCCCUUUACCUGCUUAUGAUAUUAAAUAUCAUGGUUUUAUAUCAGUACUGCUAAUUGCAAUCCAAGUACUCAAGGUUCAUUCUAAUUUCCUCUUCUGUAUUUAUAACUCUUUUCUUCUGGUUUUGCUCAAUUUAUUUAUUCCUCCACUUCAGGAUACACACAAGAUAAUUUUGUAAGUGUUAACUUGUAUUGUGCACAAUAUAGUUUUGCUCAGCGAACUAUGAACUGCCUUCUUUAUCUCUGCCUCUAAUAUAUUUUGCCCCAAUUUCUUACCUCCACAUACCUAGAAGACCAAAUUUUAAAAUGUGACACUGCAAUUUCCCCCUCUAAAAGUAUCUGUGGCCUGACCCGCCUGCACAGAGCUGCCUUAGCUGGCACUGCCGCUCACAGCCUCUCCUUCCCUUUGCUUACAGUGUGAGUGCACCAGGCUUCUCACCACUUCUGAGCAAUCCGCAGCUUUGUGUGUCUAUGCCUCUUUGCACUUUUCCCAUCACCUGAAUUCUUCUUCUCUCCCCCACUUUUUAACCUCUCAGGCAAGGUUUGGUUUUCCCUAUCUGGUAUCCUCCACUCAUUGCUCAAAUUCCAGCUCAGUUAUCACUGGCCCUGUGAAGAUGACCUGCCCUUUCCAGAAAGAUUUAAUAUGGCCCUCUUCUGGCCAUCAGCCUUUUAACCUUCUUCUGUUUGCAUUAUUCACCCACCAGACAUUGUAGUCAGGAGGCAGAGGUGGAACUCAGUAUCAUAUGCUCUUAGCAAAGGAUGUGAGGUGUGAAAGUCCUGUGGUUGUGUAUCUCAGCAUAUUUGUGUAAUAGAUUGUAUUUUUAACUUAACUACCUUAGUAAUGAACUUGUUUAUAAGGUUUGUUUGUUUCAAGUAAAACUAGAGGUCCUUGAGAAUCUACACGACCCUGAAUUUUCCAGAGUGGUCUAGUACUUUGCAGGUCCUCGAUAUUUGCUUUGGAGCACAAAAUUUCAAAAUUUAAAAGGGAAGGCCUCCUCUUUACUUAUACACACAUACAUCUUGGCUCAGCACUUGCCCCCUCUGUCCCUGAACAGGGCAUGGUCCCCUCCCGAGCCCAGAUGGGCUCAGGAUGCCCCUGCCUGCCUGUGAAUGUGGCCCGUCCUGCUUUGUGUGCCUUCUUAUUCUGCGUACGUCCCCAAGGUGCAGUGGCAUGUUCUGCAGAGCCCAGUGAUCAAUAGCACAGAGAGGACAGACAGGAGCGGUUAUGAAGAGGAGGACAGUGUCCAGACAUCAUAGCCCAUAAUGUUUAAUUUAGGGUAGUGUUUUCACCCGAUGCCAUCACCCAAGGUUUCUCUUGGGUUUAUUUGUGUUAUCACAACAGUGACGAUGCAGUUAGAGGCAGCCUUUGAAAGUGGAGUUUUGCUUGUUUCCUUUAUAUUUUACUGCUCUUUCGUGAAACAUUUCUAAAUAUCCAUGGGGCCCAAUUCUUACAAAAAUAAAUCAGAUAAACCUAGGGCUCUUGUCAAGUCAAACAUCUACAGUUUCUGGUAAUUAUGUAAUUUCCAACUCUGCUGCAGGGACCAUUGCUGCUAAGUCAGUCGUCAUAAAGAGAAAUGUUCCAGACCAAUCCUUAUUAGUGUGUCCUUCACUGAUAUAUGCAAAGUCUCUUUUUAAAAGCAGAGUUGUAACUUUUUUGGGUCUCUAGUGAAUGAGUUCUCAUCAUAACAAUUUAUAUCUGGAUAAUGUCAUUGUAAAACGUGAAAAUGGUAAACUAAAACCAAUGAUAUUAGGUUCUGCUGUUAUUAAUAAAAUCUGCCCUAGUUUUCACCAAUGUGCUAUGAUGGUAUUUUAUAAUACAACUCCGGAGUAAUGUCUUCUGCCAUUUUGAGUUGAUUUGGCCCA
Molecule: long non-coding RNA, 5599 nt
Organism: Heterocephalus glaber (naked mole-rat)
Lineage: Eukaryota; Metazoa; Chordata; Mammalia; Rodentia; Bathyergidae
Source: RefSeq, a predicted model, not a curated record